RNAcentral lists this ribosomal RNA (477 nucleotides) under uncultured bacterium. RNAcentral's name for it is "partial 16S ribosomal RNA". It matches the Rfam family "Bacterial small subunit ribosomal RNA", at positions 28 to 507 of the family's 1533-position model. The record is from RNAcentral.
GAUGAACGCUGGCGGCGUGCCUAAUACAUGCAAGUCGAGCGAACAGACGAGGAGCUUACUCCUCUGACGUUAGCGGCGGACGGGUGAGUAACACGUGUAUAACCUACCUAUAAGACUGGGAUAACUUCGGGAAACCGGAGCUAAUACCGGAUAACAUGUUGAACCGCAUGGUUCAACAGUGAAAGACGGUCUUGUUGGCGCUUGUAGAUGGAUCUGCGUCUCAUUAGCUAGUUGGUGAGGUAGCGGCUUACCAAGGCUACGAUGCGUAGCCGGCCUGAGAGGGUGGCCGGCCACAGUGGGACUGAGAGACGGGCCAGACUGGUAAGGGAGGCAGCAGGGGGGAAUAUUGCACAAUGGGCGGAAGCGUGAUGCAGCAACGCCGCGUGCGGGAUGACGGCUUUCGGGUUGUAAAAAGCUUUCGCCGGUGACGAAGGGUGAGUGACGGUAAUGGGUAAAGAAGCACCGGCUAACUACGUG